UAGGUCAGUGGCUCAAUUGGUAGAGCAGCGGUCUCCAAAACCGCAGGUUGUGGGUUCGAGUCCCUCCUGGCCUGCC
This 76-nucleotide transfer RNA is filed under the name methanotrophic bacterial endosymbiont of Bathymodiolus sp. RNAcentral's name for it is "tRNA-Trp". It matches the Rfam family "tRNA". From Rfam's summary of the family: Transfer RNA (tRNA) molecules are approximately 80 nucleotides in length. Their secondary structure includes four short double-helical elements and three loops (D, anti-codon, and T loops). Lineage: Bacteria; Pseudomonadati; Pseudomonadota; Gammaproteobacteria. The record is from RNAcentral.